Molecule: ribosomal RNA, 396 nt
Filed under: uncultured Actinomycetes bacterium
Lineage: Bacteria; Bacillati; Actinomycetota; Actinomycetes
Description: bacterial SSU rRNA
Rfam family: Bacterial small subunit ribosomal RNA
Source: RNAcentral
GCUGUCGUCAGCUCGUGUCGUGAGAUGUUGGUUAAGUCCCGCAACGAGCGCAACCCUUGUCCUAUGUUGCCAGCGGGUAAUGCCGGGGACUCGUAGNAGACUGCCGGGGUCAACUCGGAGGAAGGUGGGGACGACGUCAAGUCAUCAUGCCCCUUACGUCCAGGGCUGCACACAUGCUACAAUGGCAGGUACAACGGGCUGCUAAUCCGCGAGGAGGAGCCAAUCCCCAAAGCCUGUCUCAGUUCGGAUCGGAGUCUGCAACUCGACCCCGUGAAGUCGGAGUCGCUAGUAAUCCCGGAUCAGCAACGCCGGGGUGAAUACGUUCCCGGGCCUUGUACACACCGCCCGUCACACCACGAAAGUCGGUAACGCCCGAAGCCAGUGGCCCAACCUUUA